UUCCGCCUACGGGGCGCAGCAGUAGGGAAUCUUCCACAAUGGGCGAAAGCCUGAUGGAGCAACGCCGCGUGGGUGAAGAAGGGCUUCGGAUCGUAACACCCUGUUGUUAGAGAAGAAAGUGCGUGAGAGUAACUGUUCACGUUUCGACGGUAUCUAACCAGAAAGCCACGGCUAACUACGUGCCAGCAGCCGCAGUAAUACGUAGGUGGCAAGCGUUAUCCGGAUUUAUUGGGCGUAAAGGGAACGCAGGCGGUCUUUUAAGUCUGAUGUGAAAGCCUUCGGCUUAACCGGAGUAGUGCAUUGGG
Molecule: ribosomal RNA, 305 nt
Filed under: uncultured bacterium
Lineage: Bacteria
Description: bacterial SSU rRNA
Rfam family: Bacterial small subunit ribosomal RNA
Source: RNAcentral